UACGUAGGUCCCGAGCGUUGUCCGGAUUUAUUGGGCGUAAAGCGAGCGCAGGUGGUUUAUUAAGUCUGGUGUAAAAGGCAGUGGCUCAACCAUUGUAUGCAUUGGAAACUGGCAGACUUGAGUGCAGGAGAGGAGAGUGGAAUUCCAUGUGUAGCGGUGAAAUGCGUAGAUAUAUGGAGGAACACCGGUGGCGAAAGCGGCUCUCUGGCCUGUAACUGACACUGAGGCUCGAAAGCGUGGGGAGCAAAUAGG
Molecule: ribosomal RNA, 252 nt
Filed under: uncultured bacterium
Lineage: Bacteria
Description: partial 16S ribosomal RNA
Rfam family: Bacterial small subunit ribosomal RNA
Source: RNAcentral